Non-coding RNA from Schistocerca piceifrons (Central American locust), 121 nucleotides. The record is from the annotation of a RefSeq genome assembly. Lineage: Eukaryota; Metazoa; Arthropoda; Insecta; Orthoptera; Acrididae.
GCCCGGAUAGCUCAGUCGGUAAAAAAAAAAAAAAAAAAAAAAAAAAAAAAAAAAAAAAAAAAGUCGGUAGAGCAUUAGGCUUUUAACCUAAGGGUCCAGGGUUCAAGUCCCUGUCCGGGCG